Molecule: ribosomal RNA, 240 nt
Filed under: uncultured bacterium
Lineage: Bacteria
Description: partial 16S ribosomal RNA
Rfam family: Bacterial small subunit ribosomal RNA
Source: RNAcentral
GAUCAUGACUCAGGAUGAACGCUGGCGGCGUGCCUAAUACAUGCAAGUCGAGCGAACAGACGAGGAGCUUGCUCCUUUGACGUUAGCGGCGGACGGGUGAGUAACACGUAGGUAACCUACCUAUAAGACUGGGAUAACUUCGGGAAACCGGAGCUAAUACCGGAUAAUAUUUCGAACCGCAUGGUUCGAUAGUGAAAGAUGGCUUUGCUAUCACUUAUAGAUGGACCUGCGCCGUAUUAG